This is a non-coding RNA of Termitomyces sp. Mi166#008, 82 nucleotides long. The record is from the annotation of a GenBank genome assembly. NCBI's taxonomy places the organism in Eukaryota, Fungi, Basidiomycota, Agaricomycetes, Agaricales, Lyophyllaceae.
UCUUUGCUAGUAUAUCGGCUAGUACACGCGCCUGUCAUCAACGUUUACGCGCGAAAGCUGGGUUCGACUCCCAGGCAGAGAG